RNAcentral lists this ribosomal RNA (496 nucleotides) under uncultured bacterium. RNAcentral's name for it is "partial 16S ribosomal RNA". It matches the Rfam family "Bacterial small subunit ribosomal RNA", at positions 29 to 507 of the family's 1533-position model. The record is from RNAcentral.
AUGAACGCUGGCGGCGUGCCUAAUACAUGCAAGUCGAGCGAACGGACGAGAAGCUUGCUUCUCUGAUGUUAGCGGCGGACGGGUGAGUAACACGUGGAUAACCUACCUAUAAGACUGGGAUAACUUCGGGAAACCGGAGCUAAUACCGGAUAAUAUUUUGAACCGCAUGGUUCAAAAGUGAAAGACGGUCUUGCUGUCACUUAUAGAUGGAUCCGCGCUGCAUUAGCUAGUUGGUAAGGUAACGGCUUACCAAGGCAACGAUGCAUAGCCGACCUGAGAGGGUGUUCGGCCCCACUGGAACUGAGACACGGCCCAGACUCCUAGGGGAGGCAGCGGUAGGGAAUCUUGCGCAAUGGGCGAAAGCCUGACGGAGCAACGCCGCGUGGGUGAUGAAGGUCUUCGGAUCGUAAAACUCUGUUAUUAGGGAAGACCAUAUGUGUAAGUAACUGUGCACAUCUUGACGGUACCUACUCAGAAAGCCACGGCUAACUACGUG